This 253-nucleotide ribosomal RNA is filed under the name uncultured bacterium. RNAcentral describes it as "partial 16S ribosomal RNA". It matches the Rfam family "Bacterial small subunit ribosomal RNA", at positions 524 to 776 of the family's 1533-position model. The record is from RNAcentral.
UACAGAGGUGGCAAGCGUUGUUCGGAAUUACUGGGCGUAAAGGGCGCGUAGGCGGCCUUCUAAGUCAGACGUGAAAUCCCCCGGCUUAACCUGGGAACUGCGUCUGAUACUGGGAAGCUUGAGUAUGGGAGAGGGAUGUAGAAUUCCAGGUGUAGCGGUGAAAUGCGUAGAUAUCUGGAGGAAUACCGGUGGCGAAGGCGGCAUCCUGGACCAUAACUGACGCUGAGGCGCGAAAGCUAGGGGAGCAAACAGG